This is a long non-coding RNA of Clupea harengus (Atlantic herring), 831 nucleotides long. RefSeq lists it as uncharacterized. The record is from RefSeq and is a predicted model, not a curated record. NCBI's taxonomy places the organism in Eukaryota, Metazoa, Chordata, Actinopteri, Clupeiformes, Clupeidae. The transcript is spliced from 2 exons.
CAGGUGUCCAUACACCGCGGCGAAGAAAAGCGGCGUCUCUCCACUUGGCGUCCGACUCUCCCCGGCUCCCUGGAAGGAAGCUGCGGGUCAUGUCAGGACACAACAACAUUAUGAGCACCUGCAAAAGUGAUCUCCAGUAUGCUCUUCUUCUCCUGGGCUGCUGCUUCAUGGAUGGGUAGCCAGCCUCUACUGUCCGUCUUGCAGAAAGCAUCCUGAUGCUGGGCUAGUCUUCUGAGGGCUUCCUCGUCACCUAACUCCAUUCAGACGUGCCAGGGGAUAGAGAGAGCUCUGUUCAGAUCUUGGCAGAGAACUCAUAAGAUGUACUGAUGUAUUCUCAUAGGGACAUAGCUAUAGAUGAAGAGGAUGAAUCACUGGAUACACCUCACCUGUUCUUAUGGCUGUGAGGAUUUUGUCAACGUCAAUGGUAUCCUCGGGCUCACUGAAGAAUUACAAUGACAUCAAUAGAAUUUUGUGUGUUGUUUUCUCCCACCAACAUGCAACUAGUUUAUCAUGUGGGAUGCGGGACAGUGCUGUUUGCGAGACGUACUUGCUGUCACACUGCUUGUUGUACUGCAAGAGACUCUGUUCAAUCAUGUACUGCGUGGCCUCGUCCUCAUCCUCAUCCCAGUCCUCAUCAGCUCCUUCAAAGUCUGCCUCCAUGCUUCUGUUUAGCAAGCAAAUGAUGACUGAGAAUGCCCUUUAAACUUGUGAAACAGGAGCUUAAAUCCUUUACUUGUUGGCAAUUAAUUCAUAGCUGCAGGAGAGGUCAACAGCCUCAGAAUAUUACAUUCCACAGAGGUUGUUCAAAUAAAUGAAAGUAAAACAACUAAA